ACUGGGAAUGGUUCCUCAACGAUGAGAGGAUUUCUGGCGACGACACUUAUCAGAUCUCAGGCACCGGCGACCUGAUUGUGCGACGGCUGAGUGCACAGGGUCGCACACGGUACACGUGCAGGGUGACCAGCACGCGGUUCUCUGCCCUCAGUGACACUGUAUUAACUGAAAUGGUGACUAUGUAAUGACCAUCGAAUCGCACUUGAAGAUGACGCUGAAGACCCGCUUCGAAGCUGACCUCUCUGAAUUACUCCCGUGUAUUAUGACUGAUGAUGUACCUUCAUCAUUACUUUAUCAGAUUAGUUGUGUGAUUGAAUUUGCUCUGGAAAUCCAAGGCUCUUAGAGAGAAAGCAUUAGAGGAACACUUAGAUUAACUUUUCCUUUAUUUCCCACUGUAAUUAGCAGGAGGAAAUCAGGUAAUGUCUUUCUCUCUCAGGAAGAUUAAUGUUUAUAUAUUGAUAGCAGCUGCUACGCAUAUGAGAUUUACAUCGUGACACGUG
Penaeus monodon (black tiger shrimp) is the source of this 500-nucleotide long non-coding RNA. RefSeq lists it as uncharacterized. The record is from RefSeq and is a predicted model, not a curated record. The transcript has 3 exons. Lineage: Eukaryota; Metazoa; Arthropoda; Malacostraca; Decapoda; Penaeidae.